Molecule: ribosomal RNA, 443 nt
Filed under: uncultured bacterium
Lineage: Bacteria
Description: partial 16S ribosomal RNA
Rfam family: Bacterial small subunit ribosomal RNA
Source: RNAcentral
CCUACGGGAGGCAGCAGUGGGGAAUAUUGGGCAAUGGGCGCAAGCCUGACCCAGCAACGCCGCGUGAAGGAAGAAGGCUUUCGGGUUGUAAACUUCUUUUCUCAGGGACGAAGCAAGUGACGGUACCUGAGGAAUAAGCCACGGCUAACUACGUGCCAGCAGCCGCGGUAAUACGUAGGUGGCAAGCGUUAUCCGGAUUUACUGGGUGUAAAGGGCGUGUAGGCGGGAAAGCAAGUCAGAUGUGAAAACCAUGGGCUCAACCUGUGGCCUGCAUUUGAAACUGUUUUUCUUGAGUGCUGGAGAGGCAAUCGGAAUUCCGGGUGUAGCGGUGAAAUGCGUAGAUAUACGGAGGAACACCAGUGGCGAAGGCGGAUUGUUGGACAGUAACUGACGCUGAGGCGCGAAAGCGUGGGGAGCAAACAGGAUUAGAUACCCCAGUAGUC